This 497-nucleotide ribosomal RNA is filed under the name uncultured bacterium. RNAcentral describes it as "partial 16S ribosomal RNA". It matches the Rfam family "Bacterial small subunit ribosomal RNA", at positions 28 to 507 of the family's 1533-position model. The record is from RNAcentral.
GAUGAACGCUGGCGGCGUGCCUAAUACAUGCAAGUCGAGCGAACAGACGAGGAGCUUGCUCCUCUGACGUUAGCGGCGGACGGGUGAGUAACACGUGGAUAACCUACCUAUAAGACUGGGAUAACUUCGGGAAACCGGAGCUAAUACCGGAUAAUAUAUUGAACCGCAUGGUUCAAUAGUGAAAGACGGUUUUGCUGUCACUUAUAGAUGGAUCCGCGCCGCAUUAGCUAGUUGGGAAGGUAACGGCUUACCAAGGCAACGAUGCGUAGCCGACCUGAGAGGGGGAUAGGCCACCCUGGAAAUGAGACACGGUCCAGACUCCUAAGGGAGGCAGCAGUAGGGAAUCUUCCGCAAUGGGCGAAAGCCUGACGGAGCAACGGCGCGUGAGUGAUGAAGGUCUUCGGAUCGUAAAACUCUGUUAUUAGGGAAGAACAAAUGUGUAAGUAACUAUGCACGUCUUGACGGUACCUAAUCAGAAAGCCACGGCUAACUACGUG